AGCACGGUAAUCAGGUAUUACUUAUGUCCCCAGAAGAAAAUGUGGUGAAGAAAUGCCAAACAAACAAUAAAAGUUUACUCCGCUGCUUGAUACAAUAGUCCAGAGAAGUUUUGUUGAUUUUCUAAGAAAUAAACUUGCAUAAAAGGUUCAAUAUUGCCAUGUCCUGGUCACGCUUAAUAACGUUUUGACGGUUGCAGCAAUAUUGUCUACUUACACAAGAUGGCGCGAAGUCGUCUUCGUUUUUUCAGUACGCAGUGUGUUUUCAUCUUCACCACAUUGCAAUUCACGCUAAACUGUUUGGGUUUAUGAUUAAGUAAACUAAAAAUAAUGUAUUCCGAGGGACAGCUCGAGGUGAUCUGUUCUGCAAAACUGCACCAGUUUCCCUAAAUUGUUGCUUAUCAUUCCAGCCACUACCCCAUUGCAAAUCCUCGCUCGUCUUGAGGAAGGCUGGCAGAAGCCACACAUCCAGCCUUUUGGGAACCUGUCCACACACCCAGGCUGUUCUUCCCUGCAUUGCGCUGCACAGUAUGAUCUACACUACACAGAAGAAACAGCUCUUGUCUACAGACUGCCAAAGGAGCUUGCAGUUAUUCAGGUGCAGAACAGGAGUUGUCACAUGCUCAUUGACACACAGCAUGAAGAGUAUAA
Carassius carassius (crucian carp) is the source of this 648-nucleotide long non-coding RNA. RefSeq lists it as uncharacterized. NCBI's taxonomy places the organism in Eukaryota, Metazoa, Chordata, Actinopteri, Cypriniformes, Cyprinidae. The transcript is spliced from 4 exons. The record is from RefSeq and is a predicted model, not a curated record.